AUGCGGCCCGGUGUGCUGAGGGGAAGGUGGGAUGGGCCUUCAUCCGGCCGACGGACUGACUUGGGCAGCGGACGUGCUCCAAGGGGCUUUAAAACAGCCUCACCUUGGCUAAACGAUCUACAGCUUAAAGAUGUUCCUCAUAAAACCGCAUGGCUGUCCCGAGAGCUGGAUGCGCCCAGAAGGCACUGCUGAAGAAGGGCUGAUAGAAUUGAAGAAUGGAAAGGUAAAGGAGGCCGUGCAGCCACAUCUGAUGGGUCCGGCUCUCUGGAGCACCGGGCCCUGCUGCCACCACACACGGCUCUGCAGGCCUGGGGGCAGGCAGGGCAGCGGCAUUUUGGCUGUGCUAUAAGGCGCUGCUUGGAGCAAAUACACUGCUUGGUGCUGCCUGAAUCUCUGUGCUGAGAUGUCCUACUGCAGAUGCAGAACACAGCGUGCUCUACGGCCCAGUGUGUACUCAGCGAACAUCACCUGGUCUCCCGCAGCACAGCGUACCACCAGCCUUCCGGGAGCUUUCAGUCACCCUCUGAGUUUCAGCAUAGUACAAAGGAAUUUUCAGCCCACUUAUGGACUCCUGAAUUCUCUCUCUUGUGGAGGUGCAAAUAUUGCAUGUGAUCACGAUGACUUCUCUUUUGUCAGGCUUUGUAGAGCCCUUGCAUAUAAUUUGUGGACCACAGAGAGGGCUACAGACCUCAGAUGGAAAAGCACUUUGGGGGAAAUCGAAUGGCAUUGAUGUUUUAAAUGGAUUUUAGAAGAUGACAGAAUUGUAGGAGCUGGCAGGACGGCUGGAUGUCAUCCAGUCCAACCCACUGCUAAGACAGGGUCAUGCAGUAGGUCACACAGGGACACGUCCAUUUAAAAAAUGACACCCAAACUUGAUGGACCUUUGUGGCCAGAGCCUUCUCACAUUCAUUUUUUCUUCCCUCCCCCCCCCCCCAAAGAGAUGCAAUCACUCUGCCAUCACAAGAAGCAGGAAGGAAAAUAUAUAAAAUAUAUUUAGCAAAACCAGUAAAAUGAAAGUAGAACAGAAAAUGCAGUCAAGUAGCAGACAUUAUGUACAGCGGCGGCUUUACAGUUUGUCCUACACAUACCUCCAUACUUAUUUCACAUACGCUUCUUAAGGAGAAGGAAGUAAACAGAAACAAGCUGUUAUGAAAGAAAACAUAUUUUUCCUGAACAGUAAAGGGGGUUCAUCACUGCUUUGGCAGGUCCGAUUCAGAUAAGGAUAUAUAUGAUUCAGAAAAAUGAGAGGACAGCACUCUCUCAGUCCCUAGAUUAAAAUCACACCGUCCUCCUCCUACAGACCACACCGGUAUCUCACACAACAAUUACACUCAUAGCAUCUAGACAUUAUCUGUCCACCUUCAGGUAGGUAACAAACAACCAAGAUACAAAACAGGUUAUCUAAUUUGUCCAGCUUUCCUGAGGCUGAGUGAAAUGUUUACAUACAUGUGCGCUUAUCAAAGUCCACGUUACAGUACAUUUUUAACAGUAGUUUGUUAAACCAUGAAAGUGCAUAACAGCCUACAAGCAGGCAGAAAGUACUUCGGAACAGUCUGUCCUCACAGCGGCAGAACGCCAGCCUUCCCCAGGAGCGCUGAUCUCACAAGGGGACAUCAGUGUCUUCCUAAAGGCUCCAAAGCGCUGCGCUGGGCUUUGGUUCUUUGUUACAAGUACUCGUGGGAGCAAAGCAGCACUACAGGUAUUGGUGCGGUACUAAGACUAAAGCCAAUGUCUUGCCAACUUGUCACCCAGUUGUGGAGGAACCUUUCAAAUCAGCACUUGACAGUCUGUAGUGAUGCCCUUCAUUCGGUAAACAGCACGGUGAUAGAUUGGAAGUGACCUGAAUAUGCCACAAACCCAAACUGUGACAUCCACGGCAAUAAGUAACAGCAACCCAACUGAACUCCUUCACAGCAGCGAGCGGUGGGACAGACUUCGAGGGGGAGCGAAAGGGAGAACACCAUGCAAAGCUGCUGCCUUCUUUGGACUUGCAAAGACAACACAAGAUUCCAUUAUACAGUUAGCAAACCUCAUGGUGAUUGUGCCAUAUCACACAAUGCCAAGACAACCCCUCACUGAUGGAAGGGCAGCAUUUAUUAAUCCUUGUGGGAUGACACUGGGUAACGAGAGGUUGACGCGUGCAUUAUCAACUUGCUUUCCUUUUUACGGAGUAGCGUGAUUUUUCUUUCUUAACCCCAUAGAAGAAUUUUUACUUCCUACUCCUCAUGCCCAUGUCCAGACCUCCUCUGCUCAGCUGCCAAACCGCUCCAGCACUGAGGCUUCUUAGAGUCAAUAAGCAUCAGAAGGGAAAACCAAACCAGCCACUAACGUCACCACACACAACUGAAGCGUGUGGAAAUUUCUUAGAGGAAAAAUGAGUGGGUGUUGCACACACUUCCAGAAACAAGUACGAGUGAAGGUUUUGUACCCAAAUCAUUCAAGUUUAUUCCAGACCUCGUAUUUAAGGUAAAGUAGUCCAAUUUUCUACACAUAAGGCUCUUGGAUGUGCUGCUGCUCUCAGUCUUGCCAGCUCUUUCCAGGGACUUGCCUGAAAUCACCUUUGAUGUUGCUGUCCUCCACCAGAACAGACAAUGAACUAACGCAGGCCAAUAUCGAUGUAUGGUCACAGUAACUGAACUUUUGAAACCAGUGACAUUUCAGUGAUGCGUACAGCCAAGGCUGCAGUGAGCUGCCAUCACCGCAGCUGUCACGUAUUUUACUUACAGGAUUUGGGAAUUUUUCUUCUUUAAAAAAAACAACGUGAAUGCAUGAAAGGAAGAGGGGAACAGAACAACACAGCUGUAGUUUUUCCAAACAUAAUCACAUUACAGAACAUUAGGAGCUGCUGCCCGUAGCCAAGCCUUUCCGAAAUACAUGAAGGAACAUACAGUUGGAUGUAAUUUACAUGGGAACAUACACGAGGUUGGUGAACACUUCUAUGCCUCGCAUCCUCUGAACUGCUUAGAUUAAAUCUACACAGAAUUUGAGACCCAGGAAGCAGCUUCUGGGAAUACAGACACCACCAGUAGCAGGCCUGAAUAGUCACCAUUACCUUAUUGUUUAUGGAGAAUGAGGUGGAGGGGGGAGAGAAAAUUGUCCUUAUGUUCCCAGCUACCUCUGUGACCUCUGGCACUUCCACACACUGCACCCCUCACACACCCAAACCGACCACAGUUCUUUUUGUUGAUGGACAAACUCACACCAUUAGGCGCUGAUUUUAAUCUCGUUACCCCCAGAAACUUGAAGCAAAGCACCGCUCACUCACACAGUCCACCGCUCCUGGCUGGCUCUCAGUUCCACAGCGGCCCUCUGCUUGCUCCUGCCUGAAGGUGGGUAACAAACGCUACUGCAGGAGUUCAACACAAGUGGGAUUUCAGAACAUGAUGAACAAGAAUACACACAACACAUGGCCAAAACAAAAUAAAAGCCUUUAGUGGAAAACACUUUGAUCCUCUUCCUGUUUAUGGAUCUUAAAAAUACAGAAAGCUUUCAUUUCAAAACUGGAGAUUCAGCGGCGAUAAGGCCGGAUUACAUAGCUGCUUCCCAAGGUUUAUUGCAAUCAACUGGAACAUUUCUAUGUAACUCCACAUCGCCAACUGUACAGGUAAAACAAGACGUGAAAUUAACUAGCACUUCAAUCCCUGCUUUCCAUAAUAUAUAAACUCAACAUAGUACUGAAUUGUACAUUUAAGUAUUUACACGUUUGAUUGCCAGCAGUCCUAGCAUUUAUUGCCUUAAAGCUGCAUGGUUACUGCGUGGAAGUUCCUCACAAAGAGAACAAAUAAAAGGGAUAUUAAUUUUGUUAUAAAGUUUAGAACUGCUCAGUGAGAGGCUGAAACGUGCUGCAUAGCAUUAUUAGAAAGCUUGGCUGUACAUUUGCUUUUUAAAAUCAUUUUCAAAGAUCACACAGAAAUAGAUGGAAAAUGGCACGAGUACCACCUUCCAUCAAGGCUGGAAGAGCCUUCCUGAUCUUUUAUAACAGCCUCAAAGAACAUGAAAAUCAGGACAGGGAACGGGACGAAAUGAAAAAGCAGCACUUGCUUUAACUCAGUGAGGAGGAAGGCAGGCCAGGGACACCUCGUUUCUCUGUUGCUUGAGCCCAGUAAAUCUCAUAUUGCUUUCUUUUUUUCCUUAAUUUUCUUAAGACAGGUGGUAGCUUAAGGCUCUACAGCAAAUCACACAAUUUGCUCCAUGAUCUGUGCUAGGGAGCUUUAAUCUCAUGUACUGCGGAGAGCACGAUCUCAUACUGGAAGCAACGUAGAGGUUUCGGAGGGCUGGCUCUUUGUGUUUUAAUCACUGCCACCAGGCUGUAGUUACACUGAGCAGAAUUCGCGGCGGUGGGAGAAACCUGAGAGAAGUGUGAGAUGAUUCAUGUUUGCUCAUUGCAGGAAAGCACUCAAAAAAGAAAAGCAAUAAACCUACCACCAUGGGAAGCACUUGAGAGAAGCAGCAGCACCAAAGCCUGGAUACCUAACAACUGUCCUCCUUCUGUUUUUUAUUUAGAGCAGAACCGAGGCACCGUGGUGGGGAAUCAGGUCUUAGCGAAGAAGAAACCACCGCUGUAAGUGAAACAGCCGAUGCGGACAGCCAGCAGCUCUGCACCGCAGUAGCCCAUUCCUGUGGAACACCGUUCUGCCGCUGCCUCCCCGGCUUCAGAAUUACAAAACCCUUCUGUUUCCAUUACAGUAAAUCUUACACCUCGCAAAACUAAAAUUAAAAUAUUUAAUAUUUACAAAGCAAUCCCGAUCCUCAAUGCAUUUCAUAGGCAUAAGCUAACCCUCACAACACCCCUGUGAGGUAGGUAGGUACCAUCGCUGUUUUUACAAAGAUGCAGAUUUAGUGACGUGCCAACGGCCACGGAGGGCCCAGUGGAAAAACUGAUACAAAAUUAGAGGAGCCUGGCUCCUACUCCUGCGCUUAUAUUCAUCAAGCUACUUCCAUAAAGAACACCCCUUCUUACGGAAUUAUUUAACUGAAAUUACUUGAAGUGUUUUAUAAAAGAAAUGCCGCAAUUGUCUCUUUGUCAUAGUUUUUACAGAUCACAAGCUAAAAUUUACAUCACCUUUUAAAGAUUUAAAUUUAAAUGGACAACUGACUACUCCAAGCAAGCUUAUUUUCUAGAACUACAUGGCUUAAAUACAACGGGAUUUACCCAGGUAAACAUCGGGGUUUUACCAAGUGCAAUGCACUAUCAAAGAGAUGCUCCAGCUUCAAACCCCUCUCUUUGAACUUGUAGGAUUUGGACAUGCUGAGAAAACAAGUUUCUAAUUCCUGAGGAAAACCGUGAGCCCUUUGUCACUGAGCAGUGAAACACAAACGUGGGGGCAAGAAGAUGUAGCAGAUUCUUGUGGUAACUUGGCAAAGGUAGUUAAGGCAUUAUGUGCAUGAAAGCAGAGGUGUAACGCAGUUCACUUCUCCCUGCCCACGUGUCUGUGCUUUCAAAGUCUUGGAUUUCAUGACCCAAGCAGAUGGUCAUGUUUGCCAGCAUCAAAAUCUAUAGUCAGAACAACAGUGCUACUGUGGUAGCACUAAAAACAGCUAUGGUGAUGGGGGAAGGGCUGGAGAAAUGGGAAAGAAGCUACUGGAUUUCUACUCUCAGAAGAAAAACAUGGGAGCAAUGAUCUGCUUUUGCCAAAGCAUUAUAAUGCCUAGACAAAUAACGUUUGUUACAAUUACAUCACAUGCAGCACUUGCAACUCAGUUUGACAUGUCCUUUUUGGAUGUUUUCUUUCAAGAAACAAGUGCCUUUAAAAACUAUUAUCCCCUUCGUGUGGUGAAUGGAAGAGCAAUGCAGUGAUGCUGUUGGUAUUUCGGAACCAUUACCUGGAGCCAGCUCUCAAGGUCCACUGAAAGUGGUCUUAGGCACUGCUCUGUGGACCUGAAUGAACAACACGUACAGACUUACAGCAACUGGAUGCAGCGUUUUGUUUUUCUUGGGGUUGUGAAAGGUAUAUAGAGGCAAAAUAGUUCAGGCAGAAGUAGCCACCUGGCCAGGAGUAUCAAUUCAGAGAACCCACUGUUGAAAAACAUGCUGGGCGUUUCAUGGAUGUCACUAAGGGGAAACACAUUUGCAUGUGCUCUGAAAAGAACAUCAACCAGCAAGGAAAGAUCCACACUGAACAAACAAGAACAGAAGAAAAAUUAAAAAGAACAACAUCGUUCCACAUAACAUUAAGCACAAAAAUCACACAAAGCGCUCUCUAGGACAGUUUCCCUUUAACAUAAUAUUGAUUUUUAAAUAAAUGGAUAAACAAAAGUUUUAAACAAUCUUCAAGAUGUGUUUUUGAAAGUAAAUCUUCAUACUUUAACAGGUCUCGAUAAACAAACCAAGGCGUGCAUCAGCACUUUUUACAAUACAAUGGGCCUGAGUAGAAAAGUAAUGGGCAUGCACGUGGAUUUGAUCUGGAUACUAACUCCACCUUUACUCCCAACCAGCUACAACACUUGAGAUAACGUCACAAAAGUGAAGUUAUAUUUUUGAAUAUUGAGACAGCUUCUAAAAAGUGACGGAGGCACAGCUGGUUCUAGAGGAGCAUCACUUCGACAGUCAGAUCCAAAUAAGUUGAAGGUAUUUGCCAUGAUCUCUUUGUAGGCCUCGGCCUAAAUAUUUGGCAUCAUCUACACUGUGACAGAUCAGCAGCAGCUCCUUGAGCCCCUUCUGUUCACAGGCUUUAAUGCCCCCUCAUCAUCACCCUGUGCAACAUACAGGUUCAGAGAAACACCAGAAGCAGUUUCAGAAACAGAUCAAAAAACCCUAAGCUAUUAAAAACAGAUCCUAAUUAAAACAGAUCAAUCUGCUGGGAUCACCAUCAUCUCUGCAAGUGAAUGGUCAGGAGGUUGGGUUGUUUUUGAAGGAAAGCACUAGAGCUUCCGGGAAGAACUGAGUGCAACACCCCUCCCUGUUGUAAAAAGCUAUGCCAAUUAUGUUAGAAAUAAAGCACUCACAGGGGAGGUACAUUA
This is a non-coding RNA of Coturnix japonica (Japanese quail), 6960 nucleotides long. The record is from RefSeq and is a predicted model, not a curated record. NCBI's taxonomy places the organism in Eukaryota, Metazoa, Chordata, Aves, Galliformes, Phasianidae.